UACGUAGGGGGGAAGCGUUGUCCGGAAUCAUUGGGCGUAAAGCGCGUGUAGGCGGCCUUGUAAGUCCGUUCUGAAAGCCCGGGGCUCAACCCCGGGAGGCGGAUGGAUACUGCAGGGCUCGAGUACGGAAGAGGCGAGUGGAAUUCCCGGUGUAGCGGUGAAAUGCGCAGAUAUCGGGAGGAACACCAAUGGCGAAGGCAGCUCGCUGGGACGUUACUGACGCUGAGACGCGAAAGCGUGGGGAGCAAACAGGG
RNAcentral lists this ribosomal RNA (254 nucleotides) under uncultured bacterium. RNAcentral's name for it is "partial 16S ribosomal RNA". It matches the Rfam family "Bacterial small subunit ribosomal RNA", at positions 524 to 777 of the family's 1533-position model. The record is from RNAcentral.